UUAGAGUUUGAUCCUGGCUCAGGAUAAACGCUGGCGGCGUGCUUAAUGCAUGCAAGUCGAACGGUCCUUCGGGAUAGUGGCGAACGGGUGAGUAACACGUAAGUAACCUGCCCCUAAGUGGGGGAUAACUUCGGGAAACCGGAGCUAAUACAGCAUGUGGCCCUUCCAUUAAUUGGAAGGAUUAAAGCCUUCGGGCGCUUGGGGAGGGGCUUGCGUCCGAUUAGCUGGUUGGUGAGGUAACGGCCCACCAAGGCAAUGAUCGGUAGCUGGUCUGAGAGGAUGACCAGCCACACUGAGACUGAGACACGGCCCAGACUUCUACGGAAGGCAGCAGCAAGGAAUAUUGUGCAAUGGGCGAAAGCCUGACACAGCGACGCCGCGUGGGGGAAGAAGGUCUUCGGGUUGUAAACCCCUUUUCUUAGGGAAGAAUAAUGACGGUACCUAAGGAAGAAGUCUCGGCUAACUACGUGCCAGCAGCCGCGGUAAUACGUAGGAGGCAAGCGUUAUCCGGAUCUAUUGGGCGUAAAGCGCGUGUAGGCGGCUCUUCAAGUCGGAUGUAAAAUCUCCUGGCUCAACCAGGAGGGACCAUUCGAUACUGCUGGGCUAGAGUUCGGCAGAGGGAGGUGGAAUUCCCGGUGUAGUGGUGAAAUGCGUAGAUAUCGGGAGGAACACCAGUGGCGAAGGCGACCUCCUGGGCUGCAACUGACGCUAAGACGCGAAAGCGUGGGGAGCGAACAGGAUUAGAUACCCUGGUAGUCCACGCUGUGAACGAUGGACACUAGGUAUGGGGAGUAUCGACCCUCUCCGUGCCGUAGCUAACGCAUUAAGUGUUCCGCCUGGGGACUACGGCCGCAAGGCUAAAACUCAAAGGAAUUGACGGGGGCCCGCACAAGCAGCGGAGCGUGUGGUUUAAUUCGAUGCAACACGAAGAACCUUACCAGGGCUUGACAUGCUGGAAGUAGAAACCCGAAAGGGGGACGACCUGUUAAGUCAGGAACCUGCACAGGUGCUGCAUGGCUGUCGUCAGCUCGUGCCGUGAGGUGUCGGGUUAAGUCCCAUAACGAGCGCAACCCUCGUCGCUAGUUGUUUUCUCUAGCGAGACUGCCCCGCAAAACGGGGAGGAAGGUGGGGAUGACGUCAAGUCAGCAUGGCCCUUAUGCCCUGGGCUACACACACGCUACAAUGGGUGGCACAAUAGGUGGCAAUGGGGCGACCCGGAGCUAAUCCUCCAAAACCAUCCUCAGUACAGAUUGCAGGCUGAAACCCGCCUGCAUGAAGGCGGAGUUGCUAGUAACCGUGUAUCAGCAUGGCGCGGUGAAUACGUUCUCGGGCCUUGUACACACCGCCCGUCACGUCAUGAAAGUUGGCAACACCUGAAGUCGAUGGGCCAACCUGAUUUUAUCGGGAGGUAGUCGCCGAAGGUAGGGCCGAUAAUUGGGACGAAGUCGUAACAAGGUAACC
Molecule: ribosomal RNA, 1461 nt
Filed under: uncultured bacterium
Lineage: Bacteria
Description: 16S ribosomal RNA
Rfam family: Bacterial small subunit ribosomal RNA
Source: RNAcentral